UACAGAGGUCUCAAGCGUUGUUCGGAUUCAUUGGGCGUAAAGGGUGCGUAGGCGGCGCGGUAAGUCGGAUGUGAAAUCUCGGAGCUUAACUUCGAAACUGCAUUCGAUACUGCCGUGCUUGAGGACUGGAGAGGAGACUGGAAUUUACGGUGUAGCGGUGAAAUGCGUAGAUAUCGUAAGGAACACCAGUGGCGAAGGCGAGUCUCUGGACGAUUCCUGACGCUGAGGCACGAAAGCCAGGGGAGCAAACGGG
Molecule: ribosomal RNA, 253 nt
Filed under: uncultured bacterium
Lineage: Bacteria
Description: partial 16S ribosomal RNA
Rfam family: Bacterial small subunit ribosomal RNA
Source: RNAcentral